This 253-nucleotide ribosomal RNA is filed under the name uncultured bacterium. RNAcentral's name for it is "partial 16S ribosomal RNA". It matches the Rfam family "Bacterial small subunit ribosomal RNA", at positions 524 to 776 of the family's 1533-position model. The record is from RNAcentral.
UACGGAGGGUGCAAGCGUUAUCCGGAUUCACUGGGUUUAAAGGGUGCGUAGGAGGGCAGGUAAGUCAGUGGUGAAAUCCCCGAGCUUAACUUGGGAACUGCCGCUGAUACUAUCUGUCUUGAAUAUCGUGGAGGUGAGCGGAAUAUGUCAUGUAGCGGUGAAAUGCUUAGAUAUGACAUAGAACACCAAUUGCGAAGGCAGCUCGCUACACGAAUAUUGACGCUGAGGCACGAAAGCGUGGGGAUCAAACAGG